RNAcentral lists this ribosomal RNA (117 nucleotides) under Actinomycetes bacterium. The record is from RNAcentral. Lineage: Bacteria; Bacillati; Actinomycetota; Actinomycetes.
UUCGGUGACCAUACCGGCAGGGUCACACCCGUUCCCAUCCCGAACACGGAAGUUAAGCCUGUCUGCGCCAAUGGUACUUGGGGGUAGACCCCCUGGGAGAGUAGGUCGCCGCCGGAU